UCACUGAUAAAUCAAGAGAGCUGCAGACACACCUGAGCAAAGGGGUGCUCGCAUGAGGCCUCUCCUGAAAGGUAUGGAACUAUCAAUGAUGAUGGUUCAGCAGACGGGCUGGUGCAGUGUAGUGCCACCAUUCAGACACAGAUCAUCUGCAGUUGCAGUCUGAGGCCAUGAGCCGAUGAUGAACACAGACACUCUGCUGGUUCAGGAGUUCUCCGGUGCUAUGAAUACUACCAACUUGUCCUUCGUCCUGGGACGUUCCGGCUGUGUCACAAAGCUACUGAGUCCAUCAGCACCACUGCUUGUACCAUCUGGCCCACAAACUGUGGAGUAGAGGCCAGGCCUGGAACUGAAGCCCCCCUCAGAGCUGGGGCAUUCUGUGGCGCUAUUUUGUCUUGGCAGCAGAGCCUAUCUUCAUGUUCAGUACUGGCAUCUGCCAGUGCCUCUCCAAGUUCCAGCAUCUUUAAACACAAGAGUUUGCCUGCCUGCUAGGGGACUGAACUGUGAUUACUUUCAAGAUGAUUGUGACUGAGGAGGACAUAUUCAAAAAUCAACCUAUCCCUGAAGAAAGAAACUGAAUUUCUGCUGCUGAUGCGAGAUUCAUUUCAUGGCCUGGCUGGUGAGUUGGCCCACUGGCUCACAGAACCCUUAUCCAUGGGACACUGUGGGUCAAGUGUUUAGCACUCCACUAAUUCAUCCACAGUAACCUGCAAAAAUGAGCAUUUACACAAGGAAAACAUGCUAUUGUACCUUGGUCCUUUUGUGUGUCUGUGUAAUUACGCAGUUUGUGUUCAUGAAGGUGGGUUGUUUGCUCCAUAAAAUGUUUUGGGUUUUCUUCCAUAGUUCCUGUGAACAUUUAACCCUAUAUAAUAUGCUGAAACUUUAUACAAAAUGGUUGUGAAAUACAGUAUUGUUAAAAACUAUGUUUAAAUAGAUUUGGCUUCAAAACACACAUAUUGCCAACCUCUGUGUAAAAUUUUCUGCUGGUAUGUAUAUAAAUCUAAAUGCCCUCUCGUCACAACAUUCUGAGUAAUGGCUAAUUAUGUAGUCGGGGUUACUGUCACUGUUUGAAAGGAUGAAAACAGCUAUUGUAAAGUAUUAAUGCCAC
Dermochelys coriacea (leatherback sea turtle) is the source of this 1105-nucleotide long non-coding RNA. RefSeq lists it as uncharacterized. Lineage: Eukaryota; Metazoa; Chordata; Testudines; Dermochelyidae. The record is from RefSeq and is a predicted model, not a curated record. The transcript has 5 exons.